This 400-nucleotide ribosomal RNA is filed under the name uncultured bacterium. RNAcentral describes it as "bacterial SSU rRNA". It matches the Rfam family "Bacterial small subunit ribosomal RNA", at positions 359 to 776 of the family's 1533-position model. The record is from RNAcentral.
GAAUAUUGGACAAUGGGCGCAAGCCUGAUCCAGCAAUGCCGCGUGAGUGAUGAAGGCCUUCGGGUCGUAAAGCUCUUUUACCAGGGAUGAUAAUGACAGUACCUGGAGAAUAAGCUCCGGCUAACUCCGUUCCAGCAGCCGCGGUAAUACGGAGGGAGCUAGCGUUGUUCGGAAUUACUGGGCGUAAAGCGCGCGUAGGCGGCUUGCCAAGUCAGGGGUGAAAUCCCGGGGCUCAACCCCGGAACUGCCCUUGAAACUAGCAGGCUAGAAUCUUGGAGAGGUCAGUGGAAUUCCGAGUGUAGAGGUGAAAUUCGUAGAUAUUCGGAAGAACACCAGUGGCGAAGGCGACUGACUGGACAAGUAUUGACGCUGAGGUGCGAAAGCGUGGGGAGCAAACAGG